Molecule: ribosomal RNA, 253 nt
Filed under: uncultured bacterium
Lineage: Bacteria
Description: partial 16S ribosomal RNA
Rfam family: Bacterial small subunit ribosomal RNA
Source: RNAcentral
UACGGAAGGGGCAAGCGUUGUUCGGAAUCAUUGGGCGUAAAGGGCGCGUAGGUGGUUUUGUGUGUCUACCGUGAAAGCGCGCGGCUUAACCGCGUUCCGUCGGUAGAAACUGCAGAACUUGAGACUGGGAGGGGCUGGUGGAAUUCCCUGUGUAGCGGUGAAAUGCGUAGAGAUGGGGGAGAACACUCGUGGCGAAGGCGGCCAGCUAGACCAGUUCUGACACUGGGGCGCGACAGCGUGGGGAGCAAACAGG